This 112-nucleotide ribosomal RNA is filed under the name uncultured eukaryote. RNAcentral describes it as "partial small subunit ribosomal RNA". It matches the Rfam family "Eukaryotic small subunit ribosomal RNA", at positions 1676 to 1785 of the family's 1831-position model. The record is from RNAcentral.
UCGCUGCUACCGAUUGAAUGUUAUAGUGAGUAUCAUGGAUAGUUUUAAGAGUUUUAAUUUCAGAACUUUUGAGAUUAAAAGUGACACAAACUUGAAUAUUUAGAGGAAGCAA